UGCCGCGUGCAGGAUGACAGCCCUCUGGGUUGUAAACUGCUUUUAUAUGAGAAGAAACCCCCAGAUGCGUUUGAGGCUGACGGUAUCAUAUGAAUAAGGAUCGGCUAACUUCGUGCCAGCAGCCGCGGUAAGACGAAGGAUCCAAGCGUUGUCCGGAUUUACUGGGUUUAAAGGAUGCGUAGGCGGACACUUAAGCCAGUGGUGAAAUCCCAUAGCUCAACUAUGGAACUGCCAUUGGAACUGUGUGUCUUGAAUUCGGUUGAGGUAGAUGGAAUAUAACAUGUAACGGUGAAGUGCUUAGAUAUGUUAUAGAACACCGAUUGCGAAGGCAGUCUACUAAGCCGACAUUGACGCUGAGGCAUGAAAGCGUGGGGAGCGAACAGGAUUAGAUACCCUGGUAGUCCACGCCCUAAACGUUGAUUACUCGCUGUUAGCGAUACACUGUUAGCGGCUAAGCGAAAGCGUUAAGUAAUCCACCUGGGAAGUACGACCGCAAGGUUGAAACUCAAAGGAAUUGACGGGGGCCCGCACAAGCGGAGGAGCAUGUGGUUUAAUUCGAUGAUACGCGAGGAACCUUACCUGGGCUUAAAUGUUAGAUGCCAUUCUGCGAAAGCGGAAGUUUCUUCGGAACAUCUAGCAAGGUGCUGCAUGGCUGUCGUCAGCUCGUGCCGUGAGGUGUUGGGCUAAGUCCCGCAACGAGCGCAACCCCUAUCAUUAGUUGCCAUCAGGUUAAGCUGGGGACUCUAAUGAAACUGCCUACGCAAGUAGAGAGGAAGGCGGGGACGACGUCAAGUCAUCAUGGCCCUUACGCCCAGGGCUACACACGUGCUACAAUGGUAGGUACAAUGAGAAGCUACUUGGUAACAAGACGCAAACCUCAAAAAGUCUAUCUCAGUUCGGAUUGAGGUCUGCAACUCGACCUCAUGAAGUUGGAUUCGCUAGUAGUCGUAUAUCAGCAAUGAUACGGUGAAUACGUUCCCGGGCCUUGUACACACCGCCCGUCAAGCCAUGGAAGCUGGGAGAACCUGAAGUCGAUAACCGUAAGGAGUCGCCUAGGGUUAUACUAGUAACUGGGGCUAAGUCGUAACAAGGUAACCGUACCGGAAGGUGUGGUUGGACCACCUCCUUUCU
This 1131-nucleotide ribosomal RNA is filed under the name uncultured Bacteroidota bacterium. RNAcentral's name for it is "bacterial SSU rRNA". It matches the Rfam family "Bacterial small subunit ribosomal RNA", at positions 395 to 1533 of the family's 1533-position model. The record is from RNAcentral. Lineage: Bacteria; Pseudomonadati; Bacteroidota.